UACAAAGUGGCCUAAGGCAAAUUGUUUUACCCUUCUGAGCCUCAGUUUCCACAUUUAUAAAUUAGAAUACCAUCCCCUCUGCAAGAUUAGAGUGAAAAUUAGAUGAAGAGAAUGCGUAUCAGAUGCCUCUUUCAGAGAGAUUAAGAUAAGCAAAUAAUUAGACUACAAGGUGACAAGAAUCACAGAAACAUGCACAAGGUAUCCAAGGCCCACAGAGGGCUCUCAGCAGUCUGGUGGGUGGCAGGCAGGAGAGGGCCUCUGGCCUGGCUUUGAAAGCUGAGUAAGGCACAUAAUGGGAGAGCACAUUCUGGCCAACAAUGGCACAGGCUGAGGCACAGGUCCUGUGUCAAGGGAUCAACAGUAUCACAUAUUUGAAAAAUUACUUAUGUAUGCUCUGCACAGCGUAGGUGGGAGGACAGGCAGCUGAUGAGAAAGGAGAAGCAGGCUAGGACCUGUGUCAUGGGAGACCCUCAGGAAAAUCCCAAGACCAUCCUCAAUCACAUGUGAAGCAAAUGGAACAUACCUUUCUUAGGUAUGUUACACCAAGAUCUGUGUGCCUUUUCCAAGACAGAUUAAGAAAAUGUAAACAUCUGUACCAUGUGUGGUCCAGAGCCUCUGUUUAGAGUUUGAGCAGGCUUGCUGAACACUUCUAUUAGAAAAGAUAAACUCGCCUUCAGUUAAAGAAUUAUGACUGAGUAUCCCUGCACAACCCUCUAAGGUAAUAAAAGCAGGAAACUUUUGUCCACUACAUGUCACCAGGUUGUUCCUAGAGAACUGCAGAGUGACAGGGUUCAAACCUUUCACUAAACACUCUGAUGACCAGGUGAGCUGUGGCUCUAAGCUCUAAAGUCCAAAAAUUUUGUUCACUUGAACAAAAUUUUUGUUUUGACAAGUUGCUUCACUGCAAUUUGAACAGAAAAAUUAUUCCUAAUUUUCGCCUGUACCAAAUCAGUUAGAUCAUGAAGUCACUAUGUUUAAUACAGAGAUGCCAGUUUCCUUGGAGUUGAGCUGCUUGUAGAUCCAACAAUAAAAAAUGAACCAUUUGAAUAAAAAUUCAUAAAAGAAAUGUGUUAAGUGAUUAGAAAAAAGCUGUAUAUCAAUUAAACUCACAGACACUCCCUCCUGGAGUGGGCUCACUGGCCCACUCAUCUUUAGCAAUCAAACCGACUGAGACCACUCUCACUCCACCUCUUAUUUUUGGCCCUCUUCCAAUCUAGCUAUCAUUUUAAAAAUAAGCAAAAAGAAC
This 1246-nucleotide long non-coding RNA is filed under the name Marmota monax (woodchuck). Lineage: Eukaryota; Metazoa; Chordata; Mammalia; Rodentia; Sciuridae. The record is from RNAcentral.